AGCGAACGCUGGCGGCAGGCCUAACACAUGCAAGCCGAACGAAGUCUUCGGACUUAGUGGCGGACGGGUGAGUAACACGUGGGAACGUGCCUUUAGGUUCGGAAUAACUCAGGGAAACUUGUGCUAAUACCGAAUGUGCCCUUCGGGGGAAAGAUUUAUCGCCUUUAGAGCGGCCCGCGUCCGAUUAGCUAGUUGGUGAGGUAAAGGCUCACCAAGGCGACGAUCAGUAGCUGGUCUGAGAGGAUGAUCAGCCACAUUGGGACUGAGACACGGCCUAAACUCCUACGGGAGGCAGCAGUGGGGAAUCUUGCGCAAUGGGCGAAAGCCUGACGCAGCCAUGCCGCGUGAAUGAUGAAGGUCUUAGGAUUGUAAAGUUCUUUCACCGGGGACGAUAAUGACGGUACCCGGAGAAGAAGCCCCGGCUAACUUCGUGCCAGCCGCCGCCGUAA
Molecule: ribosomal RNA, 449 nt
Filed under: uncultured bacterium
Lineage: Bacteria
Description: partial 16S ribosomal RNA
Rfam family: Bacterial small subunit ribosomal RNA
Source: RNAcentral